RNAcentral lists this long non-coding RNA (1477 nucleotides) under Equus caballus (horse). RNAcentral describes it as "lncRNA (ENSECAG00000040365.2)". The record is from RNAcentral. Lineage: Eukaryota; Metazoa; Chordata; Mammalia; Perissodactyla; Equidae.
AACAUAGCUAAUUGGACAAAAGAUGGGAAACUAAGCAAUGCAGCUAAAACAUAGGCUGGUUAGUGACCUAUGAUUGACAUGUUUUGGUAUUAAAAGAGGAUCUGGGUCAAUCAGCAUCUCUCUGUCAGCAAUUUGAAUUAGGAAAACAAGAUAGGUAUCAGUUAGCCGUGGAAGCUAAAGUCAGCAGAAAUGGUCAGAGUCAGACCGUGAUGGCCAUGUGGAAGCUAAGAGUAUAGGGCGGCAGAAACCAUGAAUGAGCAGAAGCUUAAGUGAAUAAAGGACAUAGGGUAGAAGAUGAGGAUUCUGCUGAAGAUACUACAAGAGGAGACACACAAAGAGAUGGAAAGAGUAACAGAGAAUCUUGUCAAUGGUGGAGAUAUUUGACCUUCUGUUGCUGAGAUCUCUGCAGCUGUUGAGCGUCCAGUUUUUGUUUCUAUAUGGCAAGCUUCAUUUGGGUCUUCAUUCAACUACUCAACCACAAAAGUCAGCUGAGCUGGAGAGAAACGGUGAUUCCUAGAAUUCUUCCAAAGCCACUUCUCUUCAUCCUUCACUGACAAUUUGGAUGCAUACUGAAGAGGGCAUGAUGAAAAUCUCUGACCUGGUUUUGCAGUCAUGAGAGGUUUGGAGAGCGGCAAUUAAGAUCUAAACAUUUACUUGAUGUUUCAGUGAAGAAUUUCAACUUUAUGAGCCGCUUAACCAAAGUUAAGUAAUUUUUAUUUACUUUCUUUUUUGGAUCUUUGCAUACACUAACAUAUUGCUGUUUUUUAUAACCUGGCUCGUCAACCUCUGUGCAAGUUCUGAGGAGGUGGGGAGCUUUCCUGUGACCCAUUUUCAUCCUUUGAACCUAGACCAGCAACAGGCGUGCUCGUUAUUGUCGCUAUUUCUAAAAUGCACAAACAUUAUCACCAGGUAAAAGCCAGAUCCAUACCAAUGAAGUGAUCCUUCUACCAAUCAGAAAGUACUUGCCUAAAGUGAAUAUAACCUGACGUGGAAGUUAAAUUGCUGGUUCUGGAGAUGGCAGAGUAGGACAAGUGUGAGUGGAAAUUACAGGGAUGUAGAUUUUCCCUCCAUCUGAGGAAGAGCUUGGCAAUAAGUAGCUGUUGAAUUCCUGCUUCACGAUGGAGAAGGAGUUUCCUGUCUCUUGGAUGGAUUUUCGGGAGUCACAGAAGAGAUUAUUGUAUUGUUAGAUGCUCUAUCCUUCCCUCCCUUCCGUUUUCUCUGUCAUCUGUCUUCCUUUUUCAUCCCUUCCAUUUCUCCCUCCCUUUCCUUCCCUUCCCCCCUCUUCCUACUCACUCCUCACACGUGUAUUAAAUUCCUAUGGAGCAUCAGAUACUUUCCUUCUUAAUGUAAAGGUCUGUAAUCAAGAAUGGUGGAAGGGAAGAGCCUGGGUCCCUGAAGAGAUCACAGAACAGAGCUGCCAUAGCCAUCCUACAUUGCCUCCCUUUAGACCUUUAGGGAGAGAAAAAUAAAAGUCUAU